GACGAACGCUGGCGGCGUGCUUAACACAUGCAAGUCGAACGGAAAGGCCCUGCUUUUGUGGGGUGCUCGAGUGGCGAACGGGUGAGUAACACGUGAGUAACCUGCCCUUGACUUUGGGAUAACUUCAGGAAACUGGGGCUAAUACCGGAUAGGAGCUCCUGCUGCAUGGUGGGGGUUGGAAAGUUUCGGCGGUUGGGGAUGGACUCGCGGCUUAUCAGCUUGUUGGUGGGGUAGUGGCUUACCAAGGCUUUGACGGGUAGCCGGCCUGAGAGGGUGACCGGCCACAUUGGGACUGAGAUGAGGCCCAGACUCCUACGGGAGGCAGCAGUGGGGAAUAUUGCACAAUGGGCGGGAGCCUGAUGCAGCACCGCCGCGUGCGGGAUGACGGCCUUCGGGUUGUAAACCGCUUUCGCCUGUGACGAGGCGUGAGUGACGGUAAUGGGUAAAGAAGCACCGGCUAACUACGUG
Molecule: ribosomal RNA, 468 nt
Filed under: uncultured bacterium
Lineage: Bacteria
Description: partial 16S ribosomal RNA
Rfam family: Bacterial small subunit ribosomal RNA
Source: RNAcentral